This 21-nucleotide non-coding RNA is filed under the name Mus musculus (house mouse). The record is from RNAcentral. Lineage: Eukaryota; Metazoa; Chordata; Mammalia; Rodentia; Muridae.
GUCUUAGUCAGGGUUUCUAUU